This 1799-nucleotide long non-coding RNA is filed under the name Daucus carota (carrot). RNAcentral's name for it is "long non-coding RNA (DCAR_LNC006712)". The record is from RNAcentral. Lineage: Eukaryota; Viridiplantae; Streptophyta; Magnoliopsida; Apiales; Apiaceae.
AAUGCUCAACACUUGGCAUAUACAAUAAAUGAUACAUUAGACUGUGUGAGAAUCUCUACGGGUCUGACCUCAACUACUUCUAACUUGAAGGUUCUUCUGAUAGGUCUAACUUUGACCCUCUUAGAAUGAUAUAACUCUGAAUUGGUCAAUAUACUAGGGACUAGAAGAACUAGAUUUAGGACUUGUCAUGUCUAUAAGUAUAAAAACUGAAACUUAAUCCUCUAGCUUCAUUUUAUUCUGCUCAGAAGGACUAUCCCCAAAUAGUCUUACGAUACCUCUAUGUGAGGUUACACGUGUUCUCUUUAUUUAACCAAUAAUAACAACCUACACUCUGAUUUCAAUAACUUAUAACCUGUAGCUCUGAUACCAACUGUGACAGCCCUCAAAUCCGGGGGUCUGGAUUUGGUGCCACGAGUAAAUAAAAAUAAUUUAAAACCAGUAUUUUUGAAAGAAAAUAAAAACAAGUAUUUCAGAACCUGGAUAUUUUUUUUAAAAAAUGAUUCAAAUUGAAAAUCAAUUUCACCCCCUGAAAACAGGAUCGCAUACAGAUUACAGUAUUGAAAUCAGAAACUAAAACUAUUAAAUCUUUAUUACAAAUUAAACUACAUUAUCAGCUAAACCUUGAUAAGAAGAGUAGCUGAUAACCAAAUAAACAAAUCUAAUUUCCAACUGAAUUGAAUUGCAGAACUCCAACUGCAUCUAGUCUUAAUGACAUCGUCCUGCAUACUCUACCUGACCAUUUGCUUGAAACUUAACCACUUGCAAUCCUUGUCUAGUCUUAAGUGAAUCAUCUUUAUUCCUAGCUGAAAAGGGUUAGAAGGAAUAGCAAGAAUGAGCAAUAAUGCUCAGCAAGAAUAUGAUAGGUGAAAGCCACAAGAUAUACAAAUUUAAGUGAAUCGGAAUGUUUGAAGUAAAAGUAAACUCUGGAUUAAAUAAUGAUGUUGUAAAUCAACAGUUCAGUACCAGGGUAUGAUAUAAAAAGAGUAAAAUGGUACACGAUGAUAAAACAGUUCUGCAUCAAUAUAUGAACUUAAAGCUGUAGAGUUAAAAAUGAAAUCAAUCAUCUUUUCAACAUAAGAUAAUCUCUUUUUCAAACUAUUCAUUGUUUCAUUGGGUUUUUAAAUAAGACACCAUGCUAUAGCCGAUGAUCAGUCGCACUAUAGUCCAUAGAACCUAGUCUUUUUCAAGCUAGGCCACACAAAUAUUACGAAAUCCGGUAUUCCGGGCUGAAGGAGCCACCUUUCACGCUGGGCCGGUGUCUGGGCCUCUUACGCAAACCUACCCAAUAUAGGUUUCAAAACUACAGCUUUAACAUUUUCAAGAAAAGGUUUAUUCCAUUAGAAGUAUACUUAUAACAGAUAAGCCUUACAGAGGAACUAAACCGAGUUAUGAAAACCAUUUAUAGAGAUUUUGAAAUCAUAUGCAUCAAUUUGGUAAGUCAACCUUUCAAAUCAAAAUCGCACCUCAGUCAUGCAUUUGCAGUAAGUAAAAGGAACGUGCACUUGCUUCUAAUUUGCAAGAGAAAGGUAAAAGUACUGACAGAAAUUCUAAAAUACGGAAUAUGGAUAUGAACACUUUUCUUUGAAUAAAAGAACUGUAUACUUGAUCUUUCCAAUAUAAGAGAGAGGUAGAAAUACUUGCCUCAAUACUGCGAACUUCCGUACUGACUAUACUCUGAUAGACUUUCUCUUGGAGCAACUUCGCCUUAUCGGGUUAUCCUGAACUCAGUGUUAUCGAAAGCAUUAAGCGCAUCGAGGCGCAAAACUCUCUGGAGCCUAGGCGCAAAGCGCAAAAGCGAG